GUGCUCACUAAGGCUCGGUCCUCUCCAAGUGGUCCGGACCUGCCCUCCAUGAGCAAGAGAAACAGGACUGGCUUGGGAGUGUCCUGCUCGAGUGGACAUGGGACACUACAGUUUUCAGUACAACA
Molecule: small nucleolar RNA, 125 nt
Filed under: Microcebus murinus (gray mouse lemur)
Lineage: Eukaryota; Metazoa; Chordata; Mammalia; Primates; Cheirogaleidae
Description: Small Cajal body specific RNA 23 (ENSMICG00000029058.2)
Rfam family: Small Cajal body specific RNA 23
About the family: scaRNAs are a specific class of small nuclear RNAs which localise to the Cajal bodies and guide the modification of RNA polymerase II transcribed spliceosomal RNAs U1, U2, U4, U5 and U12. ACA11 belongs to the H/ACA box class of guide RNAs as it has the predicted hairpin-hinge-hairpin-tail structure,the conserved H/ACA-box motifs and is found associated with GAR1. H/ACA snRNAs are predicted to guide the modification of uridines to pseudouridines in substrate RNAs however, no target RNA has been identified for scaRNA ACA11.
Source: Rfam by way of RNAcentral